Molecule: non-coding RNA, 146 nt
Filed under: Protocruzia adhaerens
Lineage: Eukaryota; Ciliophora; Spirotrichea
Source: RNAcentral
ACUUCAGCGACAAACACUAACUCACAGCAAGCAUCAACCAAACCACAAAUGAAAGUACCGUUUGCCAAACAUUUUGCUCGCUCGUUAGUGCCGACCGUCAAUGUUGACAAAUCGAAGAAGGUGCUGUUUGAUGGUUGUUACAUCGG